AAAUUGAAGAGUUUGAUCAUGGCUCAGAUUGAACGCUGGCGGCAGGCCUAACACAUGCAAGUCGAACGGUAACAGGAAGCAGCUUGCUGCUUUGCUGACGAGUGGCGGACGGGUGAGUAAUGUCUGGGAAACUGCCUGGUGGAGGGGGAUAACUACUGGAAACGGUAGCUAAUACCGCAUAACGUCGCAAGACCAAAGAGGGGGACCUUCGGGCCUCUUGCCAUCGGAUGUGCCCAGAUGGGAUUAGCUAGUAG
RNAcentral lists this ribosomal RNA (254 nucleotides) under Escherichia coli. Its description in RNAcentral is "partial 16S ribosomal RNA". It matches the Rfam family "Bacterial small subunit ribosomal RNA", at positions 1 to 251 of the family's 1533-position model. The record is from RNAcentral. Lineage: Bacteria; Pseudomonadati; Pseudomonadota; Gammaproteobacteria; Enterobacterales; Enterobacteriaceae.